UAACAAGUCAUUCCACAAACAUUUCUUCUUGCUUAACUCACAAGACGAAUAAAUAUUAACAAAGUAGUAAAUAUUACAGGAUUUACAUUAAAGAGGAGAAAUAAUGGAACAGGCAGAGGGAAUAUUUCAUCAUCAUUGAAGGAUGCCUUUCCUUUACUGUAACUCAAACCAUCGGUGCUUGGUGCUUCUUGACGUUGCGCGACUACCUCUACCGCAAAUCAUCUCCUUUCCCUUUUGAAUCGAUCUACUAUUGGUAAUAAUGAAUAUAAAGAGAAAGGAAGAGAUAUGUUAGAGACAUGGACAUGAGUUUUCUUAUUUUAAGUUACUAAAAGUGUUUGGCUCAUGCUCAUGGAAGAUUAUAUUAUGGAUGCCAUGACAGUAGUGUUCAGGAGAUACAUUUGGCCACUGGAACUAUCAGUAAUAUACAAAGUGUUCUAAAAGAUUAAUUGGGAAAUCUAAUCCUAUUCAUAAAGUCUGUUUUACAAGAAAUCAAGCUAAUGACAAAUGCAUUAAGAAUAUUUGAAGAGCUGCAAAUACUGGUUGGGGUGAGAAGGACAAUUCAAAAUGGGAUAAAAUUUAAAACCCUUAUAAGAAGUAUAUUGAUUUAAAUAUCCAUGGUCCUGUUGCUAAGAUCCCUGGAAACCUCUAUCUUUUUAUCUAUGAAUUUGGCAUUUAGUUUUAGAAUUUAUAGGUUCAACCAAUGUAAAACAAACUUUCUGUAAUGAUUAGAUUAGAAAAACAAUUGAUUUAACCAAUUAAUCAAUGUGUUCAGUUAUCGAUUGUUGGAA
Vicia villosa (hairy vetch) is the source of this 788-nucleotide long non-coding RNA. RefSeq lists it as uncharacterized. The transcript is spliced from 7 exons. Lineage: Eukaryota; Viridiplantae; Streptophyta; Magnoliopsida; Fabales; Fabaceae. The record is from RefSeq and is a predicted model, not a curated record.